Molecule: ribosomal RNA, 450 nt
Filed under: uncultured bacterium
Lineage: Bacteria
Description: bacterial SSU rRNA
Rfam family: Bacterial small subunit ribosomal RNA
Source: RNAcentral
CCCAGACUCCUACGGGAGGCAGCAGUGGGGGAUAUUGGACAAUGGGGGGAACCCUGAUCCAGCGACGCCGCGUGAGUGAAGAAGUAUCUCGGUAUGUAAAGCUCUAUCAGCAGGGAAGAAAGAAAUGACGGUACCUGAGUAAGAAGCCCCGGCUAACUACGUGCCAGCAGCCGCGGUAAUACGUAGGGGGCGAGCGUUAUCCGGAUUCACUGGGUGUAAAGGGAGCGUAGACGGCCGUGCAAGCCAGGAGUGAAAGCCCGGGGCCCAACCCCGGGACUGCUCUUGGAACUGUGCGGCUGGAGUGCGGGAGGGGCAGGCGGAAUUCCUGGUGUAGCGGUGAAAUGCGUAGAUAUCAGGAGGAACACCGGCGGCGAAGGCGGCCUGCUGGACCGCGACUGACGUUGAGGCUCGAAAGCGUGGGGAGCGAACAGGAUUAGAUACCCGAGUAAA